CCUCUUGACAUCCAGAGAACGUUUCCAGAGAUGGAUUGGUGGCCUUCGGGAACUCUGAGACAGGUGCUGCAUGGCUGUCGUCAGCUCGUGUUGUGAAAUGUGGUUAAGUCCGCAACGAGCGCAACCCCUAUCCUUUGUUGCCAGCGAUUCGGUCGGGAACUCAAAGGAGACUGCCGGUGAUAAACCGGAGGAAGGUGGGGAUGACGUCAAGUCAUCAUGGCCCUUACGAGUAGGGCUACACACGUGCUACAAUGGCGUAUACAAAGAGAAGCGACCUCGCGAGAGCAAGCGGACCUCAUAAAGUACGUCGUAGUCCGGAUUGGAGUCUGCAACUCGACUCCAUGAAGUCGGAAUCGCUAGUAAUCGUAGAUCAGAAUGCUACGGUGAAUACGUUCCCGGGCCUUGUACACACCGCCCGUCACACCAUGGGAGUGGGUUGCAAAAGAAGUAGAUAGCUUAACCUUCGGGAGGGCGUUUACCACUUUGUGAUUCAUGACUGGGGUGAAGUCGUAACAAGGUAGGCGUAGCGAG
This 531-nucleotide ribosomal RNA is filed under the name uncultured bacterium. RNAcentral describes it as "bacterial SSU rRNA". It matches the Rfam family "Bacterial small subunit ribosomal RNA", at positions 977 to 1509 of the family's 1533-position model. The record is from RNAcentral.